RNAcentral lists this ribosomal RNA (491 nucleotides) under uncultured bacterium. RNAcentral's name for it is "partial 16S ribosomal RNA". It matches the Rfam family "Bacterial small subunit ribosomal RNA", at positions 29 to 507 of the family's 1533-position model. The record is from RNAcentral.
AGUGAACGCUGGCGGUAGGCCUAACACAUGCAAGUCGAACGGCAGCACAGUAAGAGCUUGCUCUUACGGGUGGCGAGUGGCGGACGGGUGAGGAAUACAUCGGAAUCUACUUUUUCGUGGGGGAUAACGUAGGGAAACUUACGCUAAUACCGCAUACGACCUACGGGUGAAAGCAGGGGAUCUUCGGACCUUGCGCGAUUGAAUGAGCCGAUGUCGGAUUAGCUAGUUGGCGGGGUAAAGGCCCACCAAGGCGACGAUCCGUAGCUGGUCUGAGAGGAUGAUCAGCCACACUGGAACUGAGACACGGUCCAGACUCCUACGGGAGGCAGCAGUGGGGAUAUUGGACAAUGGGCGCAAGCCUGAUCCGGCCAUACCGCGUGGGUGAAGAAGGCCUUCGGGUUGUAAAGCCCUUUUGUUGGGAAAGAAAAGCAGCAGGUUAAUACCCCGCUGUUCUGACGGUACCCAAAGAAUAAGCACCGGCUAACUUCGUG